Molecule: ribosomal RNA, 253 nt
Filed under: uncultured bacterium
Lineage: Bacteria
Description: partial 16S ribosomal RNA
Rfam family: Bacterial small subunit ribosomal RNA
Source: RNAcentral
UACGGGGGGGGCAAGCGUUGUUCGGAAUUACUGGGCGUAAAGGGCUCGUAGGUGGCCAACUAAGUCAGACGUGAAAUCCCUCGGCUUAACCGGGGAACUGCGUCUGAGACUGGCCGGCUUGAGUGCAGGAGAGGAACGCGGAAUUCCAGGUGUAGCGGUGAAAUGCGUAGAUAUCUGGAGGAACACCGGUGGCGAAGGCGGCGUUCUGGACUGCAACUGACACUGAGGAACGAAAGCCAGGGGAGCAAACGGG